GGAGGAUUACUCAGCUGGGAGAGCAUCUGCCUUACAAGCAGAGGGUCGGCGGUUCGAUCCCGUCAUCCUCCACCA
RNAcentral lists this transfer RNA (75 nucleotides) under Bacillus paralicheniformis. RNAcentral describes it as "tRNA-Val". It matches the Rfam family "tRNA". Rfam says of the family: Transfer RNA (tRNA) molecules are approximately 80 nucleotides in length. The record is from RNAcentral. Lineage: Bacteria; Bacillati; Bacillota; Bacilli; Caryophanales; Bacillaceae.